AGCACAAGCAGAAGAGUCACAUAACCUGAGUGUGGGGCCCAGCGAUAUGACACAAUGCCCCCUGUGGAAGAGACAAGGCAGGAGAGAAGAUUCACACCACCUGGGUACAAACUCAGUGAUAUGUCACAAUGUCCUCUGUGGGCAGUGCCAAGGCAGUAGAAUUGUCACACCACCUCUCUGGGUCCAGGGAUAUGUCACAAUCCCAUUUGUGGCCUGGGCCCAGGGAGGAGCAUCAAAUCACUCUGGUGCUGGGUAAAGUGAUAUGUCAUAAUCACACCAGCAGGAAUGUUUAGGGAUGAGAUUAUGCAUCUGGACUGGAAAGAAUCAACACAUCAAAAAUAUUACCAGACUGUGCAAGAUGGCUCAUGCCUGUAAUCCCAGCACUUUGGAGGCCAAGGGAGAAAAAAACUCAGGCCUAAGUGAUUAUAAACCUGCAAUUAACCUCUGGUUACAAAACCAGGAAAUUUACACCUGGAUCAUACAAAUAAGGUGGACCACAAAUCAGGGCCGGGUGCUUUCCAUUUCACCAAUCACGGUUUGUUC
This 543-nucleotide long non-coding RNA is filed under the name Homo sapiens (human). Its description in RNAcentral is "HSALNT0396866". The record is from RNAcentral. Lineage: Eukaryota; Metazoa; Chordata; Mammalia; Primates; Hominidae.